UUGAGAAAAUGGUGCUUUGGAAUUAAUUUUGAGGUCUGAUGGUUUUGCGGAAAUUUUUCUUAAGCAAAACGGGGAGCAAAAUGGUCUCAUUUCUGAAAAAUAGAGGAGCUAGCCUUUGUGGAAAGUGAGGUGUGGGCUCGCACGGACAAGAAAGAAAAAAUAAAUAAAAAUAAAAAAACAAAACAAAACAAAAAAAGACAUACCCCAACCCGAUACCCUUUCACUCUCAUUCUCGUCUCUUUUGUCCCUUAGCCAUAGCCAUCUUCAUCACCACCAUCAGAGAACAUCUGAAUCCCAUGCCCCGCAGUCGACCCACCACUGCCCAGCCACCAUCUCCAUUCCCGAAACCUCAUCGACCCCUGUGCCCCGAGAGUCCCAAUCUUGAGCGUGUGAAUCCACUAUCUCCAAGCCAAGAACUCGAAUCCAGAACCCACCUCUGCAUGUCUUUGAACUAGGCAUGACUUCCAUUCGUGCGCCACCGCUUGGCGCGAUUUCGCCUCUGUCUCCACCGUGAAUACCCAGUUCCGACAACCCAGUCGUGUAACAUUGUUGCGAGCCAUCACUAGUCUUUCGCAGCUCUUUCCUGUAUGUUUUGCUGGAGCAUUUUUAGCUGGAUUGAUAGAGGAGAAUUCAACAUAUAAGGGAGCAACACGUGGCAUGUCAUUAAUUAACUUGUCAAAGGGUGGUGAGGUGGCAAAAAUCAGAGUUUUGGCUGCAUUUUAAAGGAGAAAAUUCUCGAAGAAUGGGAGCAUCAUGUGUGGGAGGCUUAGAGAGCAAUUUUAUACUUUGGUGAAAAGGGUUGUGUACCCUAGCUAAAAGAAAAUAAAGGACAACCUCCAUUUACCCAAUUAAGCCAUCUUUGAGAGAGGGAGAACCAGGAAGUACAUAAAGUUUUCAGCAGUAUAAAGAAGGAAGGAGAAGAAAGAAGAAGAAAAGAAUAAUGUUGAUUUCAUCAUCAUUUUUGGGCAUUUCUUCUACUUUGUUUGUCAUUUCUUUCCUAUUUUCUCUUUGUAAUUGGUGUUUGAACUCUCAUGGAUAGAUUUAAUUUUGUAUUUGUGUUUCUUUUUUUUUAGCCAUGAACUAGAUAUUUUGAGGCUUUGAUUAUUAAUGAACUCUAUGUCUUAAUUCUAA
This is a long non-coding RNA of Humulus lupulus (European hop), 1131 nucleotides long. RefSeq lists it as uncharacterized. Lineage: Eukaryota; Viridiplantae; Streptophyta; Magnoliopsida; Rosales; Cannabaceae. The record is from RefSeq and is a predicted model, not a curated record. The transcript is spliced from 2 exons.